Molecule: transfer RNA, 68 nt
Filed under: Plerochila australis
Lineage: Eukaryota; Metazoa; Arthropoda; Insecta; Hemiptera; Tingidae
Description: tRNA-Val
Source: RNAcentral
CAAGUUGAAGUUUUUGGUUAACUUUAUUAUUUACAUUAAUAUAAAUCUGUUCGAAUCAGGCAACUUGA